Molecule: non-coding RNA, 2003 nt
Organism: Coffea arabica (coffee)
Lineage: Eukaryota; Viridiplantae; Streptophyta; Magnoliopsida; Gentianales; Rubiaceae
Source: RefSeq, a predicted model, not a curated record
CCUCUGCCCCCUUGGCUCCAUCAUUGUUUGCGGGGAGACUUCUAAAUCUUUUCCUGUUCUUUCUACUUUUUUAUUUCUUUAGGUGCAUAAAAGCAGUAACAAGUGUCAAAAAUUUGAUGAACAUUCUUCCCUUUGUCACUUCCUUCAUCCACAACUAGAAGAGCAACAUAUUCACGGUUUGAUUCUGAUUUAUGUCCUUUGUAGUUCGUUCUUGAUACCGCAUGUUCGUUGAUGUUUAUGACCAGGUUCGUUCGGGUUUAUUUUGUUUCUUUUAAUUGCUGAAGAAAGGGGUAAUAUUGAAGUUUGAGAACAGUACAUUUCAGAUUCUGGGUGUCUGUUGUGAUUUCUUGGAUGCCCUUUCUGGGAGCUGAUUAUCCAGCUUAAUUUCUCUGGUGUUAUUUGACGAGAUCUAACAUGUUCAAUGCAUGACUCUGUGGAUUAAAUCUUUGCAAAGUAUAGCAUGUUUAGUGUCUCCUGUAAUCUUCAGAUCUUGCUACUCUGAUCAAUGAUUAUGCUUUUCAAUCUGUUUGAGAAGUGUCUUUGCGCUCAAUAUUGGUAGUAGUAGCAGUUGUUGGUUUUUGUUUUUUUUUUUUUGUGGUGUUCCCUUCAAGCAGUGGUUUUGUACUUGGUUAUUUGCUAUUCACCAUGUGCUUCUUUUACCAUUUUUGUGAAUUUGUUGUACAAGCUCAUCACAUGCCAGAGCCCAGAGUGAAAAAUCUAUAAAACUUUGGCAUGAACAUUCAUACUUCUACAUAGUGAAAAAUCUUUAAUUUUGGUAUGAAGACAACAUAGACCAGCUUACGCACGACUUUUGAUCACAUUGAUAUGCGCAUCUUGGUGAGCAUACACAUUUCUUUUCCUUUUUUCCACCCUCUUGGUCAUAUCUUAUACUUGGUUAUGCACAGACCCUUCCGCAAUAUAUAACACCGGGAUUACAUGAAGCCAAAACUCCAACAAUCAAUCUCGCUAGUGGACACCGAACAUAUUUUCUUGGAAUGACUGCGGCCAAAUUUGAUCAAAACUGGACCACAUUCGUUGCAGACCAUGAAUUUCGAAAUGGCGAAGUUGUUCUCUUCAUGCCCCAAUCCAAAUCCUGUUUUUCCAUCAUCAUCUUCGAUCGGAAAGGGAAUGAAAGAAUGUAUCCAUGGCACUAUAAUUUUAAUAUUUAGCCUCAUGUUCUUUCCGUUUUAAGUUCAUUUUGUUUCUUUCUCAGACGUUGAAGGACUAUGCUUUAAUCAGCUUUGUACCUUGUUUUACACCUUUACUGCUAACUCUGUUUUCCUUGUGCUUCUUUAUAUUGCCUUUCUUACACUAUACGUUCAGUCUCUUCAUGCAGCGUUCCUGCUCAUGAUACUGCGCUGGGCAUUAACACUUUUAUUCCUACCGCGCAGCGCGCGGUUCUUGCCUCCUAGUACAUGGAGAAGGGCAUCUCCUAGUAUCUGGAAUUGGUUGUGUUUCAUUUUUGGUUUGGUUAUGCCUUGAGUAAGAUUUCUACUAGGAUCCUCGUUCAGAACAACAUAUACUUAGUUUGUACUACAAUCAUCAUCAUCACAGGGGCCCCCUUCCAAUUCAAAACAUUGUUUGUAGAUCAGUGUUUCGAUAUUGGCCUCCGUCCAAAGUUUCUGACACUAUGUGUGACUCGCCUCUGACUAGGACUGCUGUUGCAUUUUCUUGACUGGUUUAUCCGGAAAGACUUUGCUGUACAGACUCCCACACUAGGAAAGAUUGCUGUUACAGUUUUAUGACUCCAGCACUUCGAUUCAGAGACAGGGUCCCAAAACUUGUUUCUUCCUUUUGAUCUUCUUUUACCAAUCAUUCAUUCGUCUUUGGGCUGUUCACCGGCUGCAGUGAAUACUUAAUCUCCCUGGUGUUAUGGCUUUGAACGUCCGAAACUGUUGUGUGGGUGGAUAAUCUCACCCAUCCUAUGAUCAUUAUUGCCGUUAGACAAUACAUUGGCUGGUUCUUUGUUCCAUUUAAAGGGGAAGGAAAAAAAAAAAAAAAAA